CAGUAUAAUUUUAAAGCAUUACCAUUUUAAUAUUUACUACAUUUUGGGUCCUGUAGGAAGCUGCUUCCAAAAAGGAAAAGAGAAGAUUUAUAAUCUGAAUAGAUUAGAGUUUCAUAAAGCACAAUGAAGCAUGCAACAGGCUCUGUUAAAAAUAAAUAAAUAAAUAAGGCACCAUGCAUGUAUUCUGCUGCCAACUCUCGAUUAUUCAUGUUAGGAAGGAAAGCAGAUGGGGGAAGUCCAAAAAAUGGCCAUAGGAACAAGUCUGGGCUCACCAGCUGUUGGAAGACUCUUCAUAUGGAACAGAGGUAAGCUACCCCCACUGAAGCCAACCAAACAACCCAGUUGCAAAACUGCCUGGCAGUAGACUGAAGAUGAACAAAUGAAUCUAGUGCAGACUAGAAGAGCCAAUUAGCUGAACCCAGCUCACAUUUCUAACCAACAGAAUUAUAAGACUACACCCAUGCCUACAUCUGAAUCAAACUAAAAGGAAAGAUGGAACUGGCCUCUGAAAUUCCUGACUUUGUCACACAGAGAAAGCGUGUUCUGAAAGAAAGGCACAUUUGUAACCCCCAGACAACAGUUUAAGAGCACGUUCUUUGGCUGCAUCUAUAGUUGCAUAAACAUCCUUCCCCUCAUGGUCCAUUAGCUUCCAGGAAAUGAGCGAAGGAUCUGGCAACUGUCUUUCACUUGAUCUUUGCUUCUCUCAAAUGAAGGUAAGUGCUUUUAGGCUGAGCGCUAAUGGAAUUGAAAUUCAUCUCUGCUUUGCUGAUUUUAGUUAACAUCCCUUAACCCUCCCAAAUCCAACCACUGCCUGAGCUCCGGGCAGAGCAUUUAUAUGAGAGAAGGAGAGUGGCAGUAAAGAACAAAAAGGGCAUUCGGAUUUAUUUCUUCCCUCACAAUGCAUUCCCUGUCUUGUAUACACCAAGUCUCAGUGCUAAAUUUAAAUGGCCCAUUUUUUUUCUUUUGCUCACAAUGUAUCUUUAGUUAGAGCCAGACCCAAAAGUUAUAUGUUUUGGAAGAAUGGAAAUAUCAUAACUAUUAGAAUCAGAAAAACCUCAAAUUUUAAGGUUCAUUUUGUCAUUUACUUUUUGCAGGAACUUCAGUAAAUGAACUUAUAUGUGCUUCAAUUUUUGUUCCAGGAAAGAAGCAUCACAAGACAUAUAGUCAGUCACCCGGCCUCUUCCAAUAUGAAAACCUCAUAUGAAAUAUGGGGAUUUUCCUUCUUUAUUUUAGUUUUAUUAAUAGUGACAGAGCCCAUUCAAGAGAGAAAGACAACCCACUCCUUCCCCCAACUCUUCCCCAUCCUCUCUGGGAAGAAAUAAAUAUUUUCCACCAGGGGAGAUGAGAAAAGCCCUGGGCUUUUUGCUGCUAUUGCUUAGUGAAGGUUUCAUCCCAGGUGCUGAUUUAGGGUGUUCACAGUUGUGCAUAAAAUUGGAAGAGAGAGACUCUGUGUGUGUUUUUAAAGCUGGAGGAUGAUGAGGAUUUGGAGGGAGGUGAGGGAGGAAACACACUUGAUCUGGCAUGGUUUUCUGUAGUUUGACCUGACACUGGGCAGGUUUUCAAUAAGCAUUUCCUUCAUUCCCACUGCACACCCCAAUGAAUAUGCUGCAAAGGUGCAAGGGGUGUGGUCUGCGAGCCCAGGAACAACAUUGAACAAAAGUCUUUGCCAGGCAACUGCCUCGCUUUUACUCAACAGAGAACUUCUUGUUAUGGGCACUCAAGUCCUACCAACAAAACCAGUCUCUAAGUAGGAGAAACUGUGUCCAUCCAGAGCAGCCCCUUGCCUGGUGACCACUCAAUAGGAAUGAUGAAUGACUUUCUACAAAAAUUUAACCCAUUGGUGUCCAGAUAUCCUAUGCAGGUGGCUCCCCACAAAGUCCUAACACAGGCAUACCUCAUUUUAUUGUGCUCCACUUUAUUGUGCUUUGCAGAUACUGCAUUUUUUACAGAUUGAAUGUCUGUGGCAACCCUGUGUCAAGCAAGUCUAUUGGCAAUUUUCCAACAGCCUGCACUCAUUUCAUAUCUCUGUGUAUUUUCAGGAUAUUUCAAAUGUUUUCAUUAUUAUUAUGUGGUUAUAUCUGUUACGGUGCUCUAUAAUCAGUGAUCUUUGAUUAUACCCAAGAGCUCUGAUGAAACUAUUGUAAUUGUUUUGAGGCAUCGCAAACUACACCCAGGUAAGAUGGCAAAUGUAAUCGAACGGUGUGUGUGUUCUGACUGUUCCAUCAGCCAACUGUUCCCAUUUCUCUCACUCUUCUCAGCCUCUCUACUCCUGAGAUACAAUAAUAUUGAAGUUAGGCCAGUUAAUAACCCUAAGAUACCCUCUAAGUGUUCCAGUGAAAGGAAGAGCUGCAUGUCUCUCACUUUAAAUCAAAAGCUAGAAAUGAUUAAGCUUAGUGAUGAAGACAUGUUGAAGCCAAGAUUGGACAGAAGGUAGGCCUCUUGCACCAAACAGUUAGCCAAGUCAUGAAUGCAAAAAAAAAAAAAUUAAAAGUGCUACUCCAGUGACCACACAGAAGAUAAGAAAGCAAAAUUGUCCUAUUGCUGAUAUGGAGAAAGUUUUAAUGGUCUGAAUAGAGCAAACCACCUUCAACAUUCCCUUAAGACAAAGACUAAUCCAGGGCAGGUCCUAACUUUCUUUAAUUCUAUAAAGGCUGAGAGAGAUGAGGGAGCUGCAGAAGCAAAGUUUGAAGCUAGCAGAGGUUGGUUCAUGAGGUUUAAGGAAAGAAGCCAUCUCUAUAAAACAAAAGUGUGAGGUCCAAAGCAGCAAGUGAUGACGUAGAAACUGCAGCAGGUUACGCAGAAGAUCUAGCAAAUAUCAUUGACAAAAGUGGUUCCAUUAAGUGACAUAUUUUUAGUAUAGAUAAAACAGUUUUCUAUCAGAAGAAGAUGCCCUUUAGGACUUUCAUAGCUAGUGAGAAAUCAAUGCCUAGCUUCAAAACUUCAAAGACAGGUGGACUCCCUUGUUAGGGGCCAAUGCAGCUGAUGACUUUAAAUUGAAGUCAGUGCUUAUUUUUCAUUCCAACAAUCCUAGAGACCUUAAGAGUUAUACUAAAUCUACUCUGCCUGUGCUCUGUAAAUGCAACGACAAAACCUGGAUGACAGCGCAUCUGUUUAUAGCAUGGUUUACGAAUAUUUUAAUCCCCCUGUUGAGACUAACUGCCCAGAAAAAAAAAA
Sapajus apella (tufted capuchin) is the source of this 3174-nucleotide long non-coding RNA. RefSeq lists it as uncharacterized. Lineage: Eukaryota; Metazoa; Chordata; Mammalia; Primates; Cebidae. The transcript has 3 exons. The record is from RefSeq and is a predicted model, not a curated record.